Molecule: transfer RNA, 73 nt
Filed under: Myxococcus sp. MISCRS1
Lineage: Bacteria; Pseudomonadati; Myxococcota; Myxococcia; Myxococcales; Myxococcaceae
Description: tRNA-Val
Source: RNAcentral
GCACGCCGAGCCAGCUGGAGACGGCGACGGUCCCACACACCGUUCCCGCCGGGUUCGAUUCCCGGUUCGUGCA